This 737-nucleotide ribosomal RNA is filed under the name uncultured Nesterenkonia sp. RNAcentral's name for it is "bacterial SSU rRNA". It matches the Rfam family "Bacterial small subunit ribosomal RNA", at positions 28 to 774 of the family's 1533-position model. The record is from RNAcentral. Lineage: Bacteria; Bacillati; Actinomycetota; Actinomycetes; Micrococcales; Micrococcaceae.
GAUGAACGCUGGCGGCGUGCUUAACACAUGCAAGUCGAGCGAUGAAGCUUCCUGCUUGCAGGAAGUGGAUUAGUGGCGAACGGGUGAGUAUCACGUGAGCAACCUGCCCUUGACUCUGGGAUAAGCCUGGGAAACUGGGUCUAAUACCGGAUAUAACCUCUUACCGCAUGGUGAGUGGUGGAAAGCUUUUGCGGUCUUGGAUGGGCUCGCGGCCUAUCAGCUUGACGGUGAGGUAGUGGCUCACCGUGGCGAUGACGGGUAGCCGGCCUGAGAGGGUGACCGGCCACACUGGGACUGAGACACGGCCCAGACUCCUACGGGAGGCAGCAGUGGGGAAUAUUGCACAAUGGGCGAAAGCCUGAUGCAGCGACGCCGCGUGCGGGAUGACGGCCUUCGGGUUGUAAACCGUUUUCAGCAGGGAAGAAGCGCAAGUGACGGUACCUGCAGAAGAAGCGCCGGCUAACUACGUGCCAGCAGCCGCGGUAAUACGUAGGGCGCGAGCGUUAUCCGGAAUUAUUGGGCGUAAAGAGCUCGUAGGCGGUUUGCCGCGUCUGCUGUGAAAGCCCGGGGCUUAACCCCGGGUGUGCAGUGGGUACGGGCAGACUAGAGUGCAGUAGGGGAGACUGGAAUUCCUGGUGUAGCGGUGAAAUGCGCAGAUAUCAGGAGGAACACCGAUGGCGAAGGCAGGUCUCUGGGCUGUUACUGACGCUGAGGAGCGAAAGCAUGGGGAGCGAACA